This 107-nucleotide small nuclear RNA is filed under the name Schistocerca americana (American grasshopper). RNAcentral also lists the same sequence under 1 other name. The record is from RNAcentral. Lineage: Eukaryota; Metazoa; Arthropoda; Insecta; Orthoptera; Acrididae.
GUACUCGCUUCGGUGGUACAUAUACUAAAAUUGGAACGAUACAGAGAAGAUUAGCAUGGCCCCUGCGCAAGGAUGACACGCAAAAUCGUGAAGCGUUCCACAUUUUU